Cottoperca gobio is the source of this 4283-nucleotide long non-coding RNA. RefSeq lists it as uncharacterized. Lineage: Eukaryota; Metazoa; Chordata; Actinopteri; Perciformes; Bovichtidae. The record is from RefSeq and is a predicted model, not a curated record. The transcript has 4 exons.
UCUUAUUUCCCCGGGACGCGCACUGCCUGCCGUGAGCGCGCACGAAGCGCCAUCACGUGGGAGGUCCCUUUAAGUUUCCAUCGACAGAGGCCUGAGCGUGUCACAUGGACAUGAUAUAAUGAAAAGGCAGGAACACAGAGGCAGAGUGCGUGGAGAUCUCGGCCAAUGGAGAAGGGGUCGAAAUGUACGCAGUCAUCUGCCGACAGCCUGCAGCCCUGCGAAGAGAGGGACAGUGUGGCCGAGCCGAUCCUGCCCGGGGCGGGCCGAGCCGGACUCACUGCGCCUCAUCGGACGGGACCUCUCUAUUCGCAGUUGCACCUGCCAGCUAUGACCCGCACUUUAAAAUAGGAGGAAAAUGUCGCCUGUGAGCGCGCGUAUUUCGCCUGGGUCCCGGAGCAGAAGAGGAGCGCCUUUCAGCGCUUCACUGGAACGUCUUGUAUGCUGCGGAUGCCUUUUGGGCUUUUAAAUUUGGAAGCAGGAUUAGUAUGACGCACUACUGGCAUAAAGAGACACACCCACUUUAUUUUGUAGGACAGGACACACACACACACAGGAAGAGGAAAGCAGUGUGUGACUCUGUGACUGUCAGGACACAGCGAGAGGCAGGAGGCACCACUCGUGAGAGGAUGUUGUGAGACGACCGAGGGGACACGGUCCUCUGGUGAAACACAUGCUGUCAUUGUGGCCUAAUUCUAAAGGGAAGGAAAGUUCUGUUUGCAAAUGUCAGAAGGGAAACUGUGAGGAGAGGACAAGAAGAGACACACCUACACACACACACAGCGGCAGCGUGGAGGGACAGAUGGAGCGGCGGGGAGGCUGACAUCACUGUCACCUGUGGGAGCCGGAGCCUACCAUUCAUGCCAGCGGUGUGUGUGUGUGUGUGUGUGUGUGCGUGUGUGCGUGUGCAUCUGUGAGAGCCUCUGUCUCUGUGUGUCACUUCCUGGGAGAGAAUAGAACAGGAAGCUGAGUGAGAGCCGAGUGAGAGCCGACAACAAGCGCUCGCCUCACCUCCACAAGGAAGCCUUUCUCCCCAGAGAGCUGUGUGUGUGUGUGUGUGUGUGUGUGUGUGUGUGUGUGUGUGUGUGUGUGUGUGUGUGUGUGUGUGUGUGUGUAAGCCUUCCCUGUUUCCAUUUUAUUUUAGUUAAAGUCUGACUAUUUUCAAAUCUGAACAAAUUGUGCACAGACUCUUUAGUUGCAACAACAAUUGACCAAGUGACCAAUAUGACAUGUGUGUGUAGUAACAGAGCACAGACACCCACCUUUUCCCUCCAUCUGUUAUCUAUACCUUUAUGUUACAUGUGUGAUCGCCUGCAGAUCAUUUCCAGGCCUGUCCAAUCUGUAGAAAUACACUGAAACGUCUGGAUACUCCGCUGAGAUGAGGGUCAGACACAAAGUGAAACUGAAACUUAGCUGCAUUAUAAUUCUCUGUAAUUUUAAGUUUAUCAUUGAAGUAAACUGCCACCUCGAGUCUCUGAAAACAGUGAAGAUGUCUCAUAUGAUGCCACUGCCUUGAGAAUACUGUUAUUCUUAUGCAUUAUGUAUUUUAAAAUUCGAUUCAGGAAUAUUAGCAGCAUAUAAUCCUGAAAAGACACAACUUUAAUAACUUUAAUAAGGUAAAGGCAAACUAAAGAGUGUUAUAACAGGAACAUAAUCCAAUGCGAAGCUUCACGUGUGUCGGUUUAUUGUUCAAACUUUUAGUUUAUGGUGUAACUGACCUUUGACCUCCCUAAACUGAGGGCAGGAGCUGCACCAUGUCAUGUCGCCUUCUAGUGCCAAUAAACAGGAUUACAGGAUGCAAUGUGUUAAAUCACAUCUGACAGAAUGACAAAAUAUAGUGCCAGGGGUUAAAGUGCCACCCCGGACUAAUGCUGUCAUUAAAGCGUGGACGUGCCAGGUGUCGCUCCCUCUUACACUCACUGAGGCUCAUUUUGCAGACAUCUUUCCAACACCUGUAAGAGCCGCCGGGACAAAGCAGCAUUUACUGUAAGCCUUGUUGUCAUGACGACCUGUCCUGUUACAUAAGUGCCGGGCGCCAGUUCCCACAGACGGUUGCGUACAGACGUCUUUGUGCUGCGACACGAAACACCACACACUCACUGUUUGUGCAUUCCUGCAGCUGCAGCAUUUAAUCUGCUGUUCGGGUUUCAAAUCUGAUUUUUCUUCCCGCUAUUGAGGAGAAUGUUCCUUCCGGGAGGCACAAGUUCAUCCUGCUGAUCAAUCCUAAAUCAAACGUUUUAAUCUAAUACAUCUGUAGUUUGAAUCUGUCUUCCUGCAGGGAGCUGCGUCUGUUCUUACUGGAGACAACAUUAGCAGGGAUUGACUUUUCCAAUAAAGAUUUAAACAACCGUAUUGAUUAAACAGAGAAAAGGCAGCUUUACUUUGUGAAGUAAGAAAACUAAAUAUGGACCUGCAUGUGCCUCUCAGCUGCAGACAAGAUGUCCGUCACUUUUAUAUCACAACAAAAUAUUACUCCUGUGAUAUCAAAACAAGUUUAUAACAGACCAUCUGACAGCACGACUCAAACUGCCCGGCAGUAUAAAUCUGCAUUUCUAAAAUGUUUGUAAGAAGCCAUCAAGUUCAUAUUUUAAACUUAGAUGAACUUGUGACAGAGGGAGAGCAUUCAGAGCACCAACGCCACGUUUUCUUGAUUUUAUUAGCAAGGUGUGUCCCUGUCACGGUGUCCACACCUGCAGCUGCAGUCAGCUGCAUUCAAUGGCACAAAGCUCUAUGAGCUAAUAUUGGAGUUAAGUGUGUGUGUAGUACUCAUGAAUACUAAUGUGUGUGUACUUAUACUUACUAUUAUCCACGUCAUGUGAUUCUUCGUCUCUGCAGGAUCAGCAGCGGUGGUGAGGCUGCGAGUUAGAACAGCGACACAUUAUUUACAUUGUUCUUUGUAUGUAACUGACAGCGAUGAGCUCGUCCUGAUCAGGCGCUGCUGUCGUGCUGUCAGCCUCGUUUGUUCUGAUGAAUGUUCUGUUUGGAUCCUCUCUGCUGGAGGUCAUCACGUGCCAGCUGUCCAUGUCGCUGCGCUGCCAUGACAACCACACUGGUGUUUGAGACAGACUUCCACUGAAUAAGAAGCGCUGUCAUGUUUCUCUUCCUCUGACAGAUGCACGGGCUGCAGGGACAGUUUGAGUGAAUCACUGACUCCAGUGAUGUGUGUGCGUUGUGCUUUUCAUGGUGUUCGGCCUUAAUAUUUAUAUUUUAUAUUUAGUAGCAUAAGAAGUAAUGUUGAUGUUAUUUCUCAGGGUUCUUUUAAGGGUUCGUUCUUUGCUCCAGGUUUGGAGUAAUUUGAUUAAAGAUAGCACCAAAUGUAUAAACUAAUAAUAAUGGUAAUAAUAAUGUAUUUACUGUAUAUGUCUUUGUUUAUUUACGUAUUCACACAGGUUAAAAACUAUUCUUCUUGAUUUCUUGACAAAUUACUUCAUUUUUUGAAAGUUUUUGCCAAAGAUACUGAACCAAAGUGGCACAAAAAUGUCAAAUUGAAGAUAAAAAAAACGUUUUACUGCUCAGUUUUGUUCCGUAUGCACUCAGAAAUAAAUAAAUAAGCAAAGUUAUUGCAGUGAUAAGAUAUAAUUGUGAGUGCUGUCAGAGGAUGUGUUCUCUGUCACAGUCGACGGAGGAUUCAGCUCCACGCCUUCCUUCCUAAAUCAGGUAACUUUUACGAUCCCUUUAUUCUCCUUAAGGAGCUGAUAAAACACAUUUUUAGAAACAAAAGGAACUUGUGACUGUAAUUCCCUCGGUUCAUCUCACUGCUGCUGCAGCUGACACUAAAUACGUCUUCCUCCAGAAGCUGGUUUCACAUGGUGGUUUAGAUGUGUGUUCCCAUUGUCUAGCACCAUUUGAAAUCAGUGUUCUUGGGGACAGGAGGACAGCUGAGUGAGCCUCAGGAGGACAAGCACAGGACUGUCCUUCCUCCUCCUAUUUCUCCUCUAAAAGAUAACUGAUUUCUUCUGGUGCUUAGAGCCAGCUGCAGCCUUCUAGCACCAUUUGAAAUCGGUUGUAGAAAUGUGGAUCAAUGCAUCUGUGAGUCUUCGGCAAAACGCAGGACGAGCAGAAGAAAGUAACUCCGGCCUCUUCGUUCAAGCUGAAGGAAAUCAAUAUUGAUGUUCUUCACGUGAUCUCAACUCUAACUGAUCUCACUUGUAUCUUCUGUACAACAGUUAUCAUUUACUCUGCAGUUCCCACUGACCACCACUAGAGGCCGACAGAAGUCACAGAAUACUUUGAAGAGAAUUAAAAGUCUUUCUAAAAACGAACAAUAAAGCAGAUGCAUCACAGGA